Molecule: long non-coding RNA, 448 nt
Organism: Vicugna pacos (alpaca)
Lineage: Eukaryota; Metazoa; Chordata; Mammalia; Artiodactyla; Camelidae
Source: RefSeq, a predicted model, not a curated record
AGGGAUGGGGACCCCUGAGGGCUGCAGAUGAUGGUGCCACCCUCCCUUGACCCGAGACGAGACCAGGGCUACAAAACUGGAACAGCGAGAUGCAAAAUCCUGAGCCUUCAAAGCCAGCUCCUGCAGAAGAGAAAGGGCCUGGCAGCUGAGCUGGAUGCUUCAGGAGCAGAGGAUCUAUCAACUGCAGACCAAGCAUAGGGAGACGCAGGCAGACCUGGAACAGAAAUCCAGCCAGCUCCAGCCGCUCCGACAGUACUUGGUAGCCAGACAUUCGGCAGCAGGAAGCACGCCACGGGCCACGAGGCAGGAAAUGACCCAAUCCUUGAGGUCUGAUAAAGAAAACAAAGACUGAACUAGGAGAGACUGAAAUGGAGGCACAGACUUUCAAGCCCAGGCUUUCACAAAGGUUGGCUACAAUACAAGAGUUCAGGAAAAAUCAACAAGAGCA